AUCCAACCCUGAUCAGACAGCUGAGCCAGAAACCACUAAGAUCAGUUGGAACUGUUGCACUUUCUGGCAGUUGAUUGGCAGUUGUUUUCAGUUCAACUGAAGUGCCCUCCGUGUCUGGAAUGAGAGUCCCUGUCUAGUUGUUUUGAACGUGCCGCACUGAGAUCGGUGAGCAUAUUUUGUACCUUUCAUUUGGUUUUUGUUCUUUUAUCUUGUUGUCAAAUAAUGAUCUUUAUUUGACCUACUUAGUUAUUAAAACGUGAACCUUUGCUGAGUUUGUGUAAAAUGUAAUGUUUUAUUAUUGUUCUUGGAAAAGGAUUUUUCGAACAGUUAUGAAACAUAAUAAACUAGAAUGGUUU
Poeciliopsis prolifica (blackstripe livebearer) is the source of this 356-nucleotide long non-coding RNA. RefSeq lists it as uncharacterized. NCBI's taxonomy places the organism in Eukaryota, Metazoa, Chordata, Actinopteri, Cyprinodontiformes, Poeciliidae. The transcript has 3 exons. The record is from RefSeq and is a predicted model, not a curated record.